UGAUCAACAGACAAGCAUCCGUCCCACCAAAGGUGCACUAUUGUGAUAAUUAUGCCUUUUAAUCAAAGCACUUGCAUGUGGCCAUAUUCUGGUGAAAUGCAUAUAUGUUUUCAAGUCAUACGUAAAGUGCUACACAUUAUUCUUUCAGGUCUUUUCGUCCCUCAGGAGCGAUUUCAGCCGACAACCACAAAGGAUGGCCAGGUAUGCGUUGAGUUCAUUGGAUGCAGUGCCUUUCAUUGUGUCUCGGCUUUGAUAACAGAAUUACUUACUGAAUGCUUAUUUAUGCUCAGGCUUCGUUCUUCGUGGAUUCUGUCCACCAGCUUCCCUGCAUCUACGCUAUUUUAUCAUUUAUUUAUGCAUCUAUUUUAACUCCAAAUUUUCACUGUAUCUACAGUACCUACAGCACACUUCAGUCAUGGGUACAACUUGGCGAGGGCAUCUUUGUGAGCUCCGACACAUGGACACACCUGAUGCAGCAGCCAGCAGACGCUCGCAGCGUCUCGCUGUUGCACUGUGGGGAAACGAGACACUUGCACAACGCAGUGUCACAGGGAAGCAAUCCAAUAAAGAUGUUUCGAAAGGAAAGACAGCAGUCUACCCACAGUUGUCACCCGUAAAGGUGACCUGCAUGUCAUCUGCCUUUUGGCAUUACCUGCUGUCAAAGGGGUGCAGCACAGAAGAAGCACCAAAGCGGCACAAACAACUGGUACGCUACCUUGCACAGAAGUGUGCGGAUCUCCGACG
Ornithodoros turicata is the source of this 744-nucleotide long non-coding RNA. RefSeq lists it as uncharacterized. The transcript has 3 exons. The record is from RefSeq and is a predicted model, not a curated record. NCBI's taxonomy places the organism in Eukaryota, Metazoa, Arthropoda, Arachnida, Ixodida, Argasidae.